This 2163-nucleotide unclassified non-coding RNA is filed under the name Bactrocera tryoni. Its description in RNAcentral is "transmembrane protein 198, transcript variant X2". Lineage: Eukaryota; Metazoa; Arthropoda; Insecta; Diptera; Tephritidae. The record is from RNAcentral.
AUGCAUUCCGUGAACGUGUACGAAAGUGAGGAUGAGCGACGCCAUGGCCAUGAUGACACACGCGAACUGCAGAACUUGGAUUGGCCCUUCUUGAUUAAGGGCAUUUUGGAGAGCCCAUCAUGCACAACAACAACACCGGACACUGUGGCCGCGCUGCUGUGGACAAUUACGGCGGUGUUUGGUAUUGUUUACGCGCUGCUCGGCUACCGCUGUCUGCGAGCGGUGGGUUUCUUAAGCGGUCUGAUGGUCGGUGCAAACGCCAUUUUCAUGUUGCAGGACUUUCAUGUAACGCUGCUCGGCAAACCAGCCGAUUCGGCACUAGCGAUCGUGGCGGGCUUAUUGGGUGCCGUGAUCGGUUCGACAUACCCCGUAGCAUCGAUACUGAUUAGCGCAUUCGCGGGCGCACUGGUCGCUGGCGCAGCGAUGGCCGUGUGUGUGGCCACAAUGCCAGACAAUGACUUUGGCUAUCGCGAAAUUUAUGUGGCUAUCGCGGGUGGCGCUGUUAUUUGCUCGGUGCUGACGUUCUGCUGCGCCAAAUAUGUGACCAUACUGACUUCGAGCAUCGUUGGCAGCGCGAUGAUUAUUACCGCUAUCGAUUUUUUCAUGCACAACCUAGACACGAUAAAUUGGAUUUUAAAUAUGAAACCGAAUCCGCUGCCACCGCCUUGUUACGGCGGCAUUUUGAUAUGCUCUUGGCCGGUGGCAAUCAUCAUCAGCAUAAUGGUGCAGUGCUUCAUCACGGCCUGGCGUGUGGAUCAUCGCAAGCGCGUCUACCUGCGGCAUCACCACCAAAUGGCACGCUGCGGUGCCGGCGGCUUGCCGACGAAUCGCAUGAGCGGACGACCGCGCGAAACUCGCGAAGAGGCCAGUCAACGCAAGUACCGCUAUCUGUAUCAGGUGCGCACAGCGCGCGGCGACAUUAUUUCACAGAACUUCGUGUCAGCAUUGCAGAAGCGCAUACAACUGGGCGGCACGGAAACGCCCUCGGAACGCUCGAUUAAGACGAGUUCGAACGAACGCAAUACAUUUCGCAGCGAUCGCACACACUUCACCACCAUACCCGAUUCCGAAAUGUGCGACAAAAUCGAAAUUGUGCGUGAUCUAGGAUAACAAACAAGCAACAGUUACAUGUAAGCGGCGAAUGUGCGAGGGAAACGGAAACGUAUAAGAGACGCGUAGAGCUUGCUUGUGGUUAUCCGAAGAAUCGCGUAUGUGUGCGCGUGUGCGACGAUCGUUGUGCGUGUAUGUAUAAUGGGAAAUUGUUAAAUUGCCAAUGCAACAACUACAGCUAAGUGAUAAAAUGCAACGUUGCGUUUGAUGGGCGUGUAAAUAAAACUUGACAAAGCUUAAUUUAAUGAAGUGCAGGAGGGAGCGAAGGAGACGAGUGCAUGCGAAGUAAUGCAUGAAAAAAAAGGAGCGAAAAUGUCCACAGUCAGCAAAGUAAAAUUAAAAUACUGGCCUCUAGAACACUAAAUUUUGUAAAUUUAACGAGCAAAAGCUGAAUACAUAGAAAACUUAGGAAACCAAAACUGUUUUGGUGAAUUAUUAAAGCAUUUUGAGUAAGAAAAUUCAGGUAUAACACGAAAAUAACAAAAAUUCUACGUUAAAAUGUUCAACAUUAUUUUCAAGUACAAGCAAAUUUUAGACACUAGCUUCUAAGUUCCUCUUUAGUAAGUACUGACAAGGAAAACGUUAUAUGUAUGUAUGUAUGCGCUUAGGAUAUGAUCUAAAAUUAAUUGUGUUACAGGGUUUAACAGGCUUUAACUUACAAAGUACGUUCAUUUUUAACCGUUUUGUUGAACUUAACUAAAGAAUUAAUUUAGAUAUUUACUAAGUUACAGAAAAUAAGUUUAUAAAAACAAAUAAGUUAAUGAAAAAAAAUUAUAAAAAAAUUUAUAAAAAAUAAGUUUAUAGAAAAUACGUGACUAAUUAGUUGCCAAACAACUAAAACUGACUAGCUAUUUGAUUUGUGCGUAUGUGUGAAAUAAUUAUGUAUUUUCAUGCGUCUAUUUGCUUUUCUUUCAAAUUAUUAUUUUCUAUUUGUAAAGUACUAUUUUUUAUUUUCAAAUUAUUAUUUUUUAUUUUUUUGCGACAUUAUCGAGUUUUGUGUGAAGAUUAAAAAGAUCACUAGUUUUAAAAAAUAUCUUGUGUAUAAAAAACCGG